RNAcentral lists this ribosomal RNA (195 nucleotides) under uncultured freshwater bacterium. RNAcentral describes it as "partial 16S ribosomal RNA". It matches the Rfam family "Bacterial small subunit ribosomal RNA", at positions 337 to 525 of the family's 1533-position model. The record is from RNAcentral.
UCCUACGGGAGGCAGCAGUGGGGAAUUUUGGACAAUGGGGGAAACCCUGAUCCAGCAAUGCCGCGUGAGUGAAGAAGGCCUUCGGGUUGUAAAGCUCUUUUGUCAGGGAAGAAACACCGGCUCUAACACAGUCCGGGAAUGACGGUACCUGAAGAAUAAGCACCGGCUAACUACGUGCCAGCAGCCGCGGUAAUA